RNAcentral lists this long non-coding RNA (342 nucleotides) under Cucumis sativus (cucumber). RNAcentral's name for it is "long non-coding RNA (CSAT_LNC001477)". The record is from RNAcentral. Lineage: Eukaryota; Viridiplantae; Streptophyta; Magnoliopsida; Cucurbitales; Cucurbitaceae.
CCAAUGACAUGAAGUCCACAAGGCAAAAGGCGGGAUUCAAUCUCCAUGAUCUUUGAAUAUACCCUUCCGACAACAAGGUCGCGAUCUUUUGCAGGGAUUUCCUCUCCCUCCUCAGGUAGUUCAACAUCCUUAUCGAGAUUACAUUGUCUAGCAGUACUGACAAUCGAGCUAACAAUUUGUGCCCCACGACCAGUAUCUUUAAGUGAUUGGUACGAGGAAAUAAGCUCACUCAACUGCUUAAGGCCCUUAUAAAGCCCUGCAUUUUCGGCUGGAGGUGUCAAAUAGCUUAUGGUAUUAGCAUAGCUACGACGUUUAGCAACUGUAGCUUCAGACGGGUUGUUA